RNAcentral lists this ribosomal RNA (372 nucleotides) under uncultured organism. RNAcentral's name for it is "bacterial SSU rRNA". It matches the Rfam family "Bacterial small subunit ribosomal RNA", at positions 526 to 896 of the family's 1533-position model. The record is from RNAcentral.
CGUAGGGUGCGAGCGUUAAUCGGAAUUACUGGGCGUAAAGCGUGCGCAGGCGGCGCCGCAAGUCAGGCGUGAAAUCCCCGGGCUUAACUUGGGAAUGGCGCUUGAAACUACGGUGCUGGAGUGUGGCAGAGGGAGGUGGAAUUCCACGUGUAGCGGUGAAAUGCGUAGAGAUGUGGAGGAACACCGAUGGCGAAGGCAGCCUCCUGGGCCAACACUGACGCUCAUGCACGAAAGCGUGGGGAGCAAACAGGAUUAGAUACCCUGGUAGUCCACGCCCUAAACGAUGAUGACUAGUUGUUGGGGGAGUUAAAUCCCUUAGUAACGCAGCUAACGCGUGAAGUCAUCCGCCUGGGGAGUACGGUCGCAAGAUUA